GGUGCAGCUGCAGUUGCAAUUGAAGGC
Molecule: unclassified non-coding RNA, 27 nt
Filed under: Mus musculus (house mouse)
Lineage: Eukaryota; Metazoa; Chordata; Mammalia; Rodentia; Muridae
Description: oocyte_clustered_small_RNA6644
Source: RNAcentral